CAGCAGCCGCGGUAAUACAGAGGGUGCGAGCGUUAAUCGGAUUUACUGGGCGUAAAGCGUGCGUAGGCGGCUUCUUAAGUCGGAUGUGAAAUCCCUGAGCUUAACUUAGGAAUUGCAUUCGAUACUGGGAAGCUAGAGUAUGGGAGAGGAUGGUAGAAUUCCAGGUGUAGCGGUGAAAUGCGUAGAGAUCUGGAGGAAUACCGAUGGCGAAGGCAGCCAUCUGGCCUAAUACUGACGCUGAGGUACGAAAGCAUGGGGAGCAAACAGGAUUAGAUACCCGAGAGUCCCUGUCUCUUAUACA
RNAcentral lists this ribosomal RNA (301 nucleotides) under uncultured bacterium. Its description in RNAcentral is "partial 16S ribosomal RNA". It matches the Rfam family "Bacterial small subunit ribosomal RNA", at positions 509 to 808 of the family's 1533-position model. The record is from RNAcentral.